Molecule: unclassified non-coding RNA, 213 nt
Filed under: plant metagenome
Description: partial contains small subunit ribosomal RNA, internal transcribed spacer 1, and 5.8S ribosomal RNA
Source: RNAcentral
UUUCCGUAGGCGAACCUGCGGAAGGAUCAUUCAUAAUAAGUGUUUUAUGGCACUUUUUUAAAUCCAUAUCCACCUUGUGUGCAAUGUCAGGGUUGAUUUUUCUCUCGAGAGGAUCAACCCCAAACAUCAACUAUAUCUCAACUCUUUGUCUGAAAAAUAUUAUGAAUAAAACAAUUCAAAAUACAACUUUCAACAACGGAUCUCUUGGCUCUC